AGUACGUGAAACUGCUUAGAGGUUAAGCCCGAUGAACCUGAAUAUCCAUUAUGGAAAAUUCAUCAUUAAUAAUAUAAUAUUUUAAAAAUAUUAUGUAAAUAGUGUGCAAUUUUUCCAUAUAAGGACAUUGUAAUCUGUUAAUGUUAUAAAUAUUUAUCAAAAGAUCUAAAACUUAAUGUUUAUUUAAAUUAGUUAUUUUCGGAUUUCUAACAUAAAAUAAUUGUUUUAGAUUUGAUAAAUCAUUGACAGAUAUAAUUAUAUAAUGUGCUUAUAAUUCUUCGGAAUUUUACAAUAAUAUAUAAAUCUAUUGAUUUAUUUAUUUAUAAUUGUAUGCGCUAUUAUGAUUAACAAUGCGAUAGAUUCAGGAUACCUUCGGGACCCGUCUUGAAACACGGACCAAGGAGUCUAACAUAUGUGCAAGUCAUUGAGUAUUUUUAAUAAAACUUAAUGGCAUAAUUAACUUAACUUUAUUUUAAUGGGAUUAGUUUAAAUUUUUUUAAUGAAAAUUUUUAUUCAAUCCCGGGGCGUUCUAUAUAGUUAUGUAUAAUAAUAUUUAUAUUAUUUAUGCCUCUAACUAGAGCGUACCUUGAGC
This 592-nucleotide ribosomal RNA is filed under the name Epistrophella euchroma. RNAcentral describes it as "eukaryotic LSU rRNA". Lineage: Eukaryota; Metazoa; Arthropoda; Insecta; Diptera; Syrphidae. The record is from RNAcentral.